UACAGAGGGCGCGAGCGUUGUCCGGAAUCACUGGGCGUAAAGGGCGCGUAGGUGGCCCGACAAGUCAGUGGUGAAAGUUCGACGCUUAACGUCGAAUCGGCCACUGAUACUGUUGGGCUGGAGCACUGUAGAGGCUCAUGGAAUUCCGGGUGUAGCGGUGGAAUGCGUAGAGAUCCGGAAGAACACCGGUGGCGAAGGCGGUGAGCUGGGCAGUUGCUGACACUGAGGCGCGACAGCGUGGGGAGCAAACGGG
RNAcentral lists this ribosomal RNA (253 nucleotides) under uncultured bacterium. RNAcentral's name for it is "partial 16S ribosomal RNA". It matches the Rfam family "Bacterial small subunit ribosomal RNA", at positions 524 to 776 of the family's 1533-position model. The record is from RNAcentral.